UUUUAAAUAUUAUAAUGAAUUUGACCAAAACUUUUUCUCAAUGUUUACGUUUGGCAGUUAGACCCUCUUCAAAUUUUUGGGUAGAAUUUAGUUUAGUUGUUGCAAUCAAUUUCAUUUGGUUUGCUUUUUUGCUGAAUCACAACGUCCGCUCCAGUUGCAGCUGUUUCGUCCCGUCCGGCACCGAGUCAACCGAUGGUCCAGCCUGCGACGCGCUCGGCUGUUGCUACGUCAAUGGCAGCCACCAGCCAGGGACUUGGAUUAAAGUCAAAAAUAUCAGGUACGCCAGGUGGUGUUGCUGCAAUCGGUUUGCCGUCGGACAUUCCCCUAACCAGAAUAUUCAGCGGUUCCGAUUCGAAGGAGGCAGCCACAGAAGCACAGACUGCUUUGGUUCAGCAAUACGCUCCGGCAGGACGAUGCUCGUGGAAGAUCACGCAGUUCCGGUCCUGUGCACAAGAACAGGCCGAUUUGACCCUGUGCGAAGGUUUCAACGAGUCGCUCAGGCAUUAGUAGCAGAGUCCUUGCACCUACAGCUUGUCCAGUGAGCAAUUCUGACGAAACCACACCGUUCGCACCAAGUUGGAUCACAAUAAUAAGUGCGACGUCGAGAAGAAGACUUCCCGAGAGCUACAAGCAAUGCUACAAGAUUAAAUAGCAGGGUGUUUUUAACGUGACCAUAGUAUAACGUAGCGGAUUUAGACAGAUUUAUCCCGCAGAAUAAGAUAGCAAAAUUACCCAAAAAGUAAGAGCUGACAGCCGAAGUGAAGAAACACACAUCCUCUACAGAGGCAAGCAAUAACGGAACGUGUAAUUCCUCACAAUGAAUUGCUCUCGUCGUUAGAUUAAAUCCCAGGAAGUACAAUUUUCAUUGCAUUAUUUAGUCAACCGAAAUUGAAGUCCUCAGUCGAGAGAGAGAGAGAGAGAGAGAGAGAGAGAGAGAGAGAGAGAGAGAGAGAGAGAGAGAUUGAUAGGGUAGCAGCAGCUAGGAAUUAUCUUUCGAAAGCUAGCAGCGGUCGUGACCAGAACCACCACCGACGCGGAACUCAAAAAGGCGCACAAAAAACGCGCUACGAUGGCACCCAGAUAAAAAAAUCCAGAAGAAUUUACGGUUUCAGGAGAUCUGAAAACAUAUAAAGUGCUGUCAGAUGAGAAAAUUCGACGCAUCUAUGACCAGUACGACAAGGAGGGUCUGAUGACCAACAGUUUCCGAGCGGCACUACCAUAACACACGGCACCGGCGACACAUUUAUAUCCACAACAUACUAAUGACUUAUCCUUCCGAAAAAGUGAAUAAAAUCUACUCUAUUUAAGCAACAAA
Topomyia yanbarensis is the source of this 1315-nucleotide long non-coding RNA. RefSeq lists it as uncharacterized. The transcript is spliced from 2 exons. Lineage: Eukaryota; Metazoa; Arthropoda; Insecta; Diptera; Culicidae. The record is from RefSeq and is a predicted model, not a curated record.